This 67-nucleotide transfer RNA is filed under the name Mytilus trossulus (common blue mussel). RNAcentral describes it as "tRNA-Arg". Lineage: Eukaryota; Metazoa; Mollusca; Bivalvia; Mytilida; Mytilidae. RNAcentral also lists the same sequence under 1 other name. The record is from RNAcentral.
UGUGCUUUUAGGCCAGGGGCGUUUUGAUUUCGGCUCAAAAAGAGUGGGUAGAACCACAAAAGUAUAU